CACGUAGGGCGCAAGCGUUGUCCGGAAUUAUUGGGCGUAAAGAGCUCGUAGGCGGACUGUCACGUCUGCUGUGAAAAGCUGGGGCUUAACCCUGGCCUUGCAGUGGAUACGGGCAGACUAGAGGUAGGUAGGGGAGAAUGGAAUUCCCGGUGUAGCGGUGAAAUGCGCAGAUAUCGGGAGGAACACCGGUGGCGAAGGCGGUUCUCUGGACAGUUCCUGACACUGAGACACGAAGGCCAGGGGAGCAAACGGG
This 253-nucleotide ribosomal RNA is filed under the name uncultured prokaryote. RNAcentral's name for it is "partial 16S ribosomal RNA". It matches the Rfam family "Bacterial small subunit ribosomal RNA", at positions 524 to 776 of the family's 1533-position model. The record is from RNAcentral.